GACGAACGCUGGCGGCGUGCUUAACACAUGCAAGUCGAACGGAAAGGACCUGCGUUUGUGGGGUGCUCGAGUGGCGAAAGGGUGAGUAACACGUGAGUGACCUGCCCUUGACUUUGGGAUAACUUCAGGAAACUGGGGCUAAUAUCGGAUAGGAGAACCUACUGCAUGGUGGGGGUUGGAAAGUUUCGGCGGUUGGGGAUGGACUCGCGGCUUAUCAGCUUGUUGGUGGGGUAGUGGCGUACCAAGGCUUUGAGGGGUAGCCGGCCUGAGAGGGUGACCGGCCACAGUGGGAUAGAGAAGCGGCCCAGACUGCAACGGGAGGAAGCAGUGGGGAAUAGUGCACGAUGGGCGGAGGCCUUAUGGAGCAACUCCGCGUGCGGGAUGACUGCCGUCGGGUUGUAACCCGUGUUCGCCUGUGACGAAGCGUGAGUGACGGUAAUGUGUAAAGAAGCACCGGCUAACUACGUG
Molecule: ribosomal RNA, 468 nt
Filed under: uncultured bacterium
Lineage: Bacteria
Description: partial 16S ribosomal RNA
Rfam family: Bacterial small subunit ribosomal RNA
Source: RNAcentral